This 302-nucleotide unclassified non-coding RNA is filed under the name uncultured fungus. RNAcentral describes it as "sequence contains ITS2". The stretch from base 1 to 52 matches the Rfam family "5.8S ribosomal RNA", at positions 103 to 154 of the family's 154-position model. The record is from RNAcentral. Lineage: Eukaryota; Fungi.
AACGCAAAUUGCACUCCCUGGUAUUCCGGGGAGUAUGCCUGUUUGAGGGUCAGUUUAAAUAAAAUCCGAAGUGUUGCUUUUUUUUUGUGGCGUUUCGGAAUUUGGGUUAUCUUAGCACUUAGCGUUUAGGGUUAAGAGGCCUGAAAUUGAUGAUUUUUUGCCAUCCUGGACGUGUAUAAUUUCUUGUCCGUUCCGGGUGUCAGAGUCUUCCUAUUAGGUAUGAUCAUGUCGUGUGAUUUCGUUCCUAUAACUUUUUCUCAUUGAAUGACCUCAAAUCAGGUAGGGAUACCCGCUGAACUUAA